AGAGUUUGAUCUGGCUCAGGACGAACGCUGGCGGCGUGCCUAAUACAUGCAAGUCGAGCGAGCUUGCCUAGAUGAUUUUAGUGCUUGCACUAAAUGAAACUAGAUACAAGCGAGCGGCGGACGGGUGAGUAACACGUGGGUAACCUGCCCAAGAGACUGGGAUAACACCUGGAAACAGAUGCUAAUACCGGAUAACAACACUAGACGCAUGUCUAGAGUUUGAAAGAUGGUUCUGCUAUCACUCUUGGAUGGACCUGCGGUGCAUUAGCUAGUUGGUAAGGUAACGGCUUACCAAGGCAAUGAUGCAUAGCCGAGUUGAGAGACUGAUCGGCCACAUUGGGACUGAGACACGGCCCAAACUCCUACGGGAGGCAGCAGUAGGGAAUCUUCCACAAUGGACGAAAGUCUGAUGGAGCAACGCCGCGUGAGUGAAGAAGGGUUUCGGCUCGUAAAGCUCUGUUGGUAGUGAAGAAAGAUAGAGGUAGUAACUGGCCUUUAUUUGACGGUAAUUACUUAGAAAGUCACGGCUAACUACGUGCCAGCAGCCGCGGUAAUACGUAGGUGGCAAGCGUUGUCCGGAUUUAUUGGGCGUAAAGCGAGUGCAGGCGGUUCAAUAAGUCUGAUGUGAAAGCCUUCGGCUCAACCGGAGAAUUGCAUCAGAAACUGUUGAACUUGAGUGCAGAAGAGGAGAGUGGAACUCCAUGUGUAGCGGUGGAAUGCGUAGAUAUAUGGAAGAACACCAGUGGCGAAGGCGGCUCUCUGGUCUGCAACUGACGCUGAGGCUCGAAAGCAUGGGUAGCGAACAGGAUUAGAUACCCUGGUAGUCCAUGCCGUAAACGAUGAGUGCUAAGUGUUGGGAGGUUUCCGCCUCUCAGUGCUGCAGCUAACGCAUUAAGCACUCCGCCUGGGGAGUACGACCGCAAGGUUGAAACUCAAAGGAAUUGACGGGGGCCCGCACAAGCGGUGGAGCAUGUGGUUUAAUUCGAUGAUACGCGAGGAACCUUACCCGGGCUUAAAUUGCACCUGAAUAAUGUGGAAACAUGUUAGCCGUAAGGCAGGUGUGAAGGUGCUGCAUGGUUGUCGUCAGCUCGUGCCGUGAGGUGUCGGCUUAAGUGCCAUAACGAGCGCAACCCUUAUCUUCAGUUACUAACAGGUCAUGCUGAGGACUCUGGAGAGACUGCCGUCGUAAGAUGUGAGGAAGGUGGGGAUGACGUCAAAUCAGCACGGCCCUUACGUCCGGGGCUACACACGUGUUACAAUGGGAGGUACAGAAGGCCGCUACCUGGCGACAGGAUGCCAAUCCCCAAAACCUCUCUCAGUUCGGAUCGAAGUCUGCAACCCGACUUCGUGAAGCUGGGUUCGCUAGUAAUCGCGCAUCAGCCAUGGCGCGGUGAAUACGUUCCCGGGCCUUGCACACACCGCCCGUCA
This 1428-nucleotide ribosomal RNA is filed under the name uncultured bacterium. Its description in RNAcentral is "bacterial SSU rRNA". It matches the Rfam family "Bacterial small subunit ribosomal RNA". The record is from RNAcentral.